RNAcentral lists this non-coding RNA (480 nucleotides) under Bannozyma yamatoana. RNAcentral describes it as "group I intron". The stretch from base 98 to 411 matches the Rfam family "Group I catalytic intron". Rfam says of the family: Group I catalytic introns are large self-splicing ribozymes. They catalyse their own excision from mRNA, tRNA and rRNA precursors in a wide range of organisms. The record is from RNAcentral. Lineage: Eukaryota; Fungi; Basidiomycota; Microbotryomycetes; Chrysozymaceae.
GGCACCACCAGGUGUAAACUUUUAAGUCGCAGUUACUCUGCACUGAAUAGCAGCCCUAACGGGUGAGGUGGUUGCGCUUAUCAAACAAAUGUAAAUGCUAGUGAGAUUAUAAUCCUAGUCUUGUUAUACGAGACUGCUUUAUGGUCUUGCGAGACCCUCAAACUGCGGGAAAGUCUUAAAAACACGCUACACUAAGCUAUGUUUCGAAAGAUCAUAGUGGCCGGGGUAAUGACCUAGGGUAUAGUAAAAGCGAGCGUGUUUGUGCCAAUAGAUUAUCCGCAUCCAAGUCCCUAAAGUAUGGCAUGCUCCGGCAUGGCAUUACAAUGGGAAAGGUUCAGAGACUAGAUGGGGGUCGGUUCUUUCCGGAUGGGAAGGGUUUAAGGUAUAGUCCGUUACAAACUGCAGUACAUUUUAGAUGUACGUCUGCUUGGUCUGCUUAUAGCUUUAUCUCACUGAGAUAAAGGUAAAGGGAGCCUGCGG